UACGGAGGGUGCGAGCGUUGUCCGGAAUUACUGGGCGUAAAGCGUGCGUAGACGGCUAUCUAAGUCGGGUGAAAGCCCCGGGCUCAACCUGGGAAUUGCAUUCGAGACUGAAUAGCUAGGGUGCGGUAGAGGGAAGCGGAAUUUCCGGUGUAGCGGUGAAAUGCGUAGAUAUCGGAAGGAACACCAGUGGCGAAGGCGGCUCACUGGACCGGCAUUGACGCUGAGGUGCGAAAGCGUGGGGAGCAAACAGG
RNAcentral lists this ribosomal RNA (251 nucleotides) under uncultured bacterium. RNAcentral describes it as "partial 16S ribosomal RNA". It matches the Rfam family "Bacterial small subunit ribosomal RNA", at positions 524 to 776 of the family's 1533-position model. The record is from RNAcentral.